UUGACAUCAAGGUUAGAGGAAGAGGCUGGCCAACACCAGAGCACAUUUUUAAAGUUAUCAUCUAUUUAAUAAAUCUAAUUCUUUUAAAUUUUUUUUUUUUUUUUAAUUUAAUUGUUAAGAAGUGUGAAAAAUUUUAGUUAAAAUCAAUAGUUUAGUUAUUAGUUAUUGAGGUUUAAAUUUUCUAUAGAAAUUACUUAGAAUUGAUUAGGAUUUGAUUUAGGAUUUGAUUUAGGAUUAGGAUUAGGAUUUUGGAUUGAUUUAAGAUUUGGUUAGGAUUAAGAUUAAGAUUUUGGAUUUUAUUUGAGAUUUUAUUAGGAUUAGAGUUUGAUUUAGAUUAGUAUUUGAUUAGGAUUAGGAUUUGAUUUAGGUUAAGAUUUGGUUAGAUUUAUUUAGAAUUUAAUUAAGAUUUUAUUAGGUUUAUUUAGGAUUUAACUAAGAUUUAUUUAGAGUUUUUUUAGAAUUUUUUUAAGAUUUUACUAGGAGUUUUUUAGGAUUUGGUUAGGGCUUAUUUAGGAUUUGACAAGAAUUUGAUGAAGAUUUGACUAAGAUUUUAUUAAAGUUUGAUGAAGGUUUGACUACAUAUUGACUAAGAUUUGACUAUAUUUUAACCAAGAUUUAAUUAAGUUUUUAUUUUAAUAUUUUAUAAAAAAUUCUAAUUUAGUAUUUUUUUAAUUUCUAUAUUAUUUCUUUAUGAUUUCUUUAAAGGGUCUCUAGAAAUUCUUUGUAUUUUUUAUAUAAUUCUUUUAAAAUUUUAAUUAAAUUUGAUUGAUGUUUGAUUAUAUUUGCUAAUCUUUAAUUAUGAUUUAUUUAAGAAUAUAUUAGAUUUGUUAAGACUUGUUGUUGCAAUUUUCUUUUUAUCUUCCACAGCCAGGUGCCCAAUGUAUUCUCAAGCUAAACUUCAUAUAACAUGACGAUGGACCUACAAAAACUAUUAAAAUAUUUUUUUAUAAUAAUUUAGAAAUUAAAGUUUGAUUGAUGCAAAAUAUUAUUAUAUGCAUUACAU
RNAcentral lists this long non-coding RNA (1003 nucleotides) under Physcomitrium patens. Its description in RNAcentral is "long non-coding RNA (PPAT_LNC012624)". Lineage: Eukaryota; Viridiplantae; Streptophyta; Bryopsida; Funariales; Funariaceae. The record is from RNAcentral.